This 216-nucleotide ribosomal RNA is filed under the name Glomeromycotina sp. Its description in RNAcentral is "partial small subunit ribosomal RNA". The stretch from base 40 to 216 matches the Rfam family "Eukaryotic small subunit ribosomal RNA", at positions 686 to 864 of the family's 1831-position model. Lineage: Eukaryota; Fungi; Glomeromycota. The record is from RNAcentral.
GGGACAGUAGGUUGGUCGUGCCACCGGUACGUACUGGUCUCACUGAUUCCUCCUUCCUGAAGAACCGUAAUGCCAUUAAUUUGGUGUUGCGGGAAAACAGGACUGUUACUUUGAAAAAAUUAGAGUGUUUAAAGCAAGCUAACGCUUGAAUACAUUAGCAUGGAAUAAUGAAAUAGGACGAUCGAUCCUAUUUUGUUGGUUUCUAGGAUUGACGUA